This 514-nucleotide ribosomal RNA is filed under the name uncultured bacterium. RNAcentral's name for it is "bacterial SSU rRNA". It matches the Rfam family "Bacterial small subunit ribosomal RNA", at positions 31 to 518 of the family's 1533-position model. The record is from RNAcentral.
GAACGCUGGCGGCGUGCCUAAUACAUGCAAGUCGAACGGUCUUUCUAUGGAAGCUUGCUUCCACUGAGAAGAUAGUGGCGAACGGGUGAGUAACACGUGGGUAACCUGCCCAUAAGAGGGGGAUAACAUCCGGAAACGGGUGCUAAUACCGCAUAGUUUUCUUGAUCGCAUGAUCGGGAAAGGAAAGACGGCCUUUGUGCUGUCGCUUAUGGAUGGACCCGCGGCGUAUUAGUUAGUUGGUGAGGUAACGGCUCACCAAGACGAUGAUACGUAGCCGACCUGAGAGGGUGACCGGCCACAUUGGGACUGAGACACGGCCCAAACUCCUACGGGAGGCAGCAGUAGGGAAUCUUCCGCAAUGGACGAAAGUCUGACGGAGCAACGCCGCGUGAGUGAAGAAGGUUUUCGGAAUCGUAAAACUCUGUUGUCAGAGAAGAACAAGUUGGAGAGUAACUGCUCCAGCCUUGACGGUAUCUGACCAGAAAGCCACGGCUAACUACGUGCCAGCAGCUGC